AGUGAACGCUGGCGGUAGGCCUAACACAUGCAAGUCGAACGGCAGCACAGUAAGAGCUUGCUCUUACGGGUGGCGAGUGGCGGACGGGUGAGGAAUACAUCGGAAUCUACUUUUUCGUGGGGGAUAACGUAGGGAAACUUACGCUAAUACCGCAUACGACCUACGGGUGAAAGCAGGGGAUCUUCGGACCUUGCGCGAUUGAAUGAGCCGAUGUCGGAUUAGCUAGUUGGCGGGGUAAAGGCCCACCAAGGCGACGAUCCGUAGCUGGUCUGAGAGGAUGAUCAGCCACACUGGAACUGAGACACGGUCCAGACUCCUACGGGAGGCAGCAGUGGGGAAUAUUGGACGAAGGGCGCAAGCCUGAUCCAGCCAUACCGCGUGGGUGAAGAAGGCCUUCGGGUUGUAAAGCCCUUUUGUUGGGAAAGAAAAGCAGCGGGUUAAUACCCCGCUGUUCUGACGGUACCCAAAGAAUAAGCACCGGCUAACUUCGUG
Molecule: ribosomal RNA, 492 nt
Filed under: uncultured bacterium
Lineage: Bacteria
Description: partial 16S ribosomal RNA
Rfam family: Bacterial small subunit ribosomal RNA
Source: RNAcentral